Molecule: transfer RNA, 71 nt
Filed under: Tamias dorsalis (cliff chipmunk)
Lineage: Eukaryota; Metazoa; Chordata; Mammalia; Rodentia; Sciuridae
Description: tRNA-Gly
Rfam family: tRNA
About the family: Transfer RNA (tRNA) molecules are approximately 80 nucleotides in length. Their secondary structure includes four short double-helical elements and three loops (D, anti-codon, and T loops).
Source: RNAcentral
ACUCUUUUAGUAUUAAUUAGUACAAUUGACUUCCAAUCAAUUAGCCCUAGAUAUAAACCUAGGAAAGAGUA